CUACGGGGCGCUCCAGGUAGGGAUAUUUUACAAUGCACGCAAGUGUGAUAAAGCGAGCCAGAGUGUUUUUCAUAUUUGAGAAACUUUUGUCUAUUGUAAAAAGAUAGACGAAUAAGGACUGGGAGAGACCGGUGCCAGCCGCCGCGGUAAUACCGGCGGUCCGAGUCGCAGCCACAAUUAUUGGGUCUAAAACAUCCGUAGCUUGUUUAGUGAGUUUCUUGUGAAAUCGUAUAUCUUAAGUAUAGGGCGUGCAAGAAGUACUGCUAAGCUAGAGACUGGAGGAAGUGAAGAGUACAGUUGAGGUAGUGGUAAAAUACGUUAAUCUCGAUUGGACUAACAAUAGCGAAGGCACUUCACUAAUACAGAUCUGACAAUGAGGGAUGAAGGCUGGGGUCGCAAAACGGAUUAGAUACCCCGGUAGUC
RNAcentral lists this ribosomal RNA (423 nucleotides) under uncultured archaeon. RNAcentral describes it as "partial 16S ribosomal RNA". It matches the Rfam family "Archaeal small subunit ribosomal RNA", at positions 323 to 746 of the family's 1478-position model. The record is from RNAcentral.